Molecule: long non-coding RNA, 554 nt
Filed under: Bos taurus (domestic cattle)
Lineage: Eukaryota; Metazoa; Chordata; Mammalia; Artiodactyla; Bovidae
Description: long non-coding RNA NONBTAT024736
Source: RNAcentral
CAUUAUUUAAAACUCUUUACUGAUGUACACAUUUUAAUAAAAUCAAAUAACCAAAAAAUAAAAAUACACAAAGCCACAGUUACUUAAAACAUAGGAUUUUUUUUAAGUCUAUAAAAAUACAAUGUUUAAGGCAGUUUGGAAAUGCAUUUAUACAUUUCUACAAUGUUCAUAAAUUCUCUUGAAAAUAAGAAUGUUAACUUCAAAUCUAUAAAAUACACUGUACAUUUUUAAACUGUUCUAGAUAGAGCAAACUUCACAAUUGAUGGUGGUUCUGGAUCCCUGGUGACAAAUGGAUUCUUUACAUUUCAGGCAAGAAAGGUGUACCAUGGAUGUGGAAUCAUAAAGAGGCUUUCAUAAAUGGCAGUGCAGAGCUCUUUUAAAUAAAAACUUGCAUUGUUCAACACCACUAGCAACUCUCUAGAUAGCAUUUUUGGAUCCUUAAUCCUAAGCAAUGUGCUAAGAGAUUUGAGUGGUGGCAAUGAAAUUAAAGUCAAGGGCUCAAAACUAUCCAAACUCAGGAAAAUUAACCCUUCUCAUGCCCUCACCUCCCCCGC